GAGUUUGAUCGUGGCUCAGGAUGAACGCUAGCGGCAGGCCUAAUACAUGCAAGCUGAACGGUAAAUAUUGUAGCAAUACGAUAUGAGAGUAGCGUAAGGGUGCGUAACACGUAUGCAAUCUGCCCUGUACAGGAGGAUAGCUCGGCGAAAGCCGGAUUAAUACUCCGUAAUAUUAUUGGGUAGGGCAUCUCUUGUAUAAUUAAAAGUUACGCAAGACGGUAUGGGAGUGAGCAUGCGUCUGAUUAGCUAGUUGGUGGUGUAACGGACCACCAAGGCGAUGAUCAGUAGGGGAACGUGAGAGGUUGGAUCCCCCACCACUGGCACUGAGAUACGGGCCAGACUCCUACGGGAGGCAGCAGUAGGGAAUAUUGGUCAAUGGAUGCAAGUCU
This 389-nucleotide ribosomal RNA is filed under the name uncultured Bacteroidota bacterium. RNAcentral's name for it is "bacterial SSU rRNA". It matches the Rfam family "Bacterial small subunit ribosomal RNA", at positions 9 to 384 of the family's 1533-position model. Lineage: Bacteria; Pseudomonadati; Bacteroidota. The record is from RNAcentral.